RNAcentral lists this long non-coding RNA (672 nucleotides) under Sarcophilus harrisii (Tasmanian devil). Its description in RNAcentral is "lncRNA (ENSSHAG00000027417.1)". The record is from RNAcentral. Lineage: Eukaryota; Metazoa; Chordata; Mammalia; Dasyuromorphia; Dasyuridae.
CUCUCAGUCCCGAACUUUACAGGCCGCCCCCUGACGUCAGGAAGGGCCCUGCCAAUGGAGAGGGGCGGCCUGGACCCUAGGAGAGGGGAAGUGGGGGAGGGUCCUCGUGCACAAAGGCCGCGCUCGGGGGAGGGGUUUAUGUACACGUUCCCUAGAGGAGGGAGGGAGCCCACUCGGACCCAAGCCAGGGCCUAAUUCCAACUCGAUUCUUCCUUUAAAUUCCCCAGGCCAGUUAGCCCCCAAAUCAUCCUGGAUCUCUGAAACUGAGACCCAGUGAGGUCAGGCUCCUGCUCCAAGCUCACCCCACGUAGGAAGUGGCAACACUGGAAUUCGAGCUAAAGGGCUGAUUAAUGCUGAUAGCAACCCCAGCCCCUGCUGUAUUUUAAGGAUUUUGUCAGAAGCAGCAGAUUGCUAACAGUUAUUUGGUUAUAUGGUCAUCUUAACGAAGUCCAGCAAAAUUCCAGAGCUAUAAAGUCAUCACAAACAAGUUCCAGAUGAUUGCUGACAGAUUUUCCAAAUAUGCUAAAAAAGGGUCUACAACAAGGGUCUACUUGCAUCAGUUUCUGAAAGCAAUAUACUCUGCCUCUUCAAAAGGAACUCAACAAUUUCCUGUGCAUUAUACAGAAUUAUAGACAACAUUUAUGUGGGCUGCUGCUGAUCUUCAUCCUUCCC